RNAcentral lists this ribosomal RNA (523 nucleotides) under uncultured bacterium. RNAcentral's name for it is "partial 16S ribosomal RNA". It matches the Rfam family "Bacterial small subunit ribosomal RNA", at positions 355 to 868 of the family's 1533-position model. The record is from RNAcentral.
UGGGGAAUAUUGCACAAUGGGCGCAAGCCUGAUGCAGCCAUGCCGCGUGUGUGAAGAAGGCCUUCGGGUUGUAAAGCACUUUCAGCGAGGAGGAAGGUGGUGAACUUAAUACGUUCAUCAAUUGACGUUACUCGCAGAAGAAGCACCGGCUAACUCCGUGCCAGCAGCCGCGGUAAUACGGAGGGUGCAAGCGUUAAUCGGAAUUACUGGGCGUAAAGCGCACGCAGGCGGUUUGUUAAGUCAGAUGUGAAAUCCCCGGGCUCAACCUGGGAACUGCAUUUGAAACUGGCAAGCUAGAGUCUCGUAGAGGGGGGUAGAAUUCCAGGUGUAGCGGUGAAAUGCGUAGAGAUCUGGAGGAAUACCGGUGGCGAAGGCGGCCCCCUGGACGAAGACUGACGCUCAGGUGCGAAAGCGUGGGGAGCAAACAGAUUAGAUACCCUGGUAGUCCACGCUGUAAAACGAUGUCGAUUUUGGAGGUUGUGCCCCUUGAGGCGUGGNUUCCGGAGCUAACGNGUUAAAUCGA